GUUGAAACACCGGUUGCCGCACGAUCACCGAAGUUAAGCAAUGUCGAACUUCGUCAGUUCCUAGAUGGGUGACUGCUUGGGAAUACCAGGUGCUGAAAG
Acanthosepion pharaonis is the source of this 99-nucleotide non-coding RNA. NCBI's taxonomy places the organism in Eukaryota, Metazoa, Mollusca, Cephalopoda, Sepiida, Sepiidae. The record is from the annotation of a GenBank genome assembly.